UACAAGACUCACACUCGACUGCUAAAAGAAAAGUUGGACCAGAUCAAGGCUGAGAUGCAGAAGAUCUCUAAAGUCCACCUGCAUCAGCGCCCUGAGAGGAAAGCGUAUCAUCCAUUUGUGUGGAACACCCUGAGCCCCUACAGAGACACGACGGAGAUUGACCAUCUUCUCACAAUGACAGCCAAUCAAGACAGAAGGAAUCAACGUUCUUUAACGAAGGAAAUCACUUGGGUUUCUAAAUAACACUUGUAUCCAGUUGCUUUAUAUGCCUAAAUGUGCACUUUUCCUUUGUCUUUGUCUGAGUCUGCUGUUUAUUGAAUGUCUCAUGAGAAGCUCUGGCCCCAAUCAGAUGCAUGACAUGGAGAUUACUUCAACCACCGAUCCCCACAGCUCUCUAUGCAGUGGCAAGUGAAAAGAGAAUAACUGCUACAUUAUUCAUCAUGUCCUUCAUGCAAGUCUCCACAUCAUUUAAAACAUUUGUGCACAAUUGUACCCCUCAGAAACUUUUUUUUGUGUGUUGAAUAUGCAAUUGGUACCUUCAUAAAAUGGGAUCUACAGCUCUGA
Long non-coding RNA from Danio aesculapii, 564 nucleotides. RefSeq lists it as uncharacterized. The transcript has 3 exons. NCBI's taxonomy places the organism in Eukaryota, Metazoa, Chordata, Actinopteri, Cypriniformes, Danionidae. The record is from RefSeq and is a predicted model, not a curated record.